AUACGGAGGAUGCGAGCGUUAUCCGGAUUUAUUGGGUUUAAAGGGAGCGUAGGUGGGAUAUUAAGUCAGCUGUGAAAGUUUGGGGCUCAACCUUAAAAUUGCAGUUGAUACUGGCUGUCUUGAGUACAGUAGAGGGGGGCGGAAUUCGUGGGGUAACGGUGGAAUGCUUAGAUAUCACGAAGAACUCCGAUUGCGAAGGCAGCUCACUGGACUGCAACUGACACUGAUGCUCGAAAGUGUGGGUAUCAAACAGGAUUAGAUACCCUGGUAGUCCACACAGUAAACGAUGAAUACUCGCUGUUUGCGAUAUACAGUAAGCGGCCAAGCGAAAGCAUUAAGUAUUCCACCUGGGGAGUACGCCGGCAACGGUGAAACUCAAAUGAAUUGGCGGGG
RNAcentral lists this ribosomal RNA (393 nucleotides) under uncultured bacterium. RNAcentral describes it as "partial 16S ribosomal RNA". It matches the Rfam family "Bacterial small subunit ribosomal RNA", at positions 523 to 918 of the family's 1533-position model. The record is from RNAcentral.